AGAGGGKGCAAGSGUUAAUYGGAUUUACUGGGCGUAAAGGGUGCGUAGGUGGUUUUUUAAGUCGGAUGUGAAAGCCUGGGGCUCAACCUCAGAAUUGCAUUCGAUACUGGGAAACUAGAGUUCGGUAGAGGGCGGCGGAAUUUCCGGUGUAGCGGUGAAAUGCGUAGAUAUCGGAAGGAACACUCAAUGGCGAAGGCAGCCGCCUGGGCCUGGACUGACACUGAGGCACGAAAGCGUGGGUAGCAAACAGGAUUAGAUACCCUGGUAGUCCACGCCGUAAACGAUGAGAACUUGACGUUGGUUCGUUUUACGAAUCGGUGUCGCAGCUAACGCGAUAAGUUCUCCGCCUGGGGAGUACGGCCGCAAGGUUG
This 371-nucleotide ribosomal RNA is filed under the name uncultured bacterium. RNAcentral's name for it is "bacterial SSU rRNA". It matches the Rfam family "Bacterial small subunit ribosomal RNA", at positions 527 to 896 of the family's 1533-position model. The record is from RNAcentral.